GGUACGCUGCAGGAAGUGAGCGGCUCAGGAAAGUUGUGUGGAGAGACAAACAGUUAAUGUCCAGAGACAGUAGGAACUGCAGAUGCUGGAGAAUCCGAAACAACAAGGUGCAGAGCUGGAUGAACACAGCAGGCCAAGCAACAUCAUAGAAGAGUCUGAUCUAACUCUUGUUCAGGACUGGAAGACGCUGGAAAAUGCCAGUUUUUGUGUUGUCCACCGAGGGGGGAAGGAAGAGCGAGGGGAACAGAUGCUACUUAGGGAGCUCCUGACUCAACAGAAUUCCAAACUCCUGUCUCAUCCAUCACCACGCAGAAGACAGUCAACCAGCCAGAAAGAUGGGAGAGUAUGAUCUCAAACCUUCAGUAAAUCGUGCAGGGUGGUCAUCUCGACGCCAAAUCCUCUGGGAGCGGGUCGGAAGGCAAAGCAGGAGUCUGUUUGAGUAUAUAACGGAGUAAACUUACUGGUGCAGAGAACACUGCGAAACUGAAAAAAAAACUAAUUAAUUAAAAAUAAUUAACUAAGU
This is a long non-coding RNA of Rhincodon typus (whale shark), 523 nucleotides long. RefSeq lists it as uncharacterized. The transcript has 3 exons. The record is from RefSeq and is a predicted model, not a curated record. Lineage: Eukaryota; Metazoa; Chordata; Chondrichthyes; Orectolobiformes; Rhincodontidae.